UUGCAAAUGGCUGGUGUUAAACCGAUACUUUGUCUCACUAAUUCAGAGAUGAAAAUUAUGGCAUUUAAAAAUAACAAUUGAAGUCAUUCGCGAAUGCGACUAAUCAUAGCAGAAAAAUGUUGUUCCACAAUUAACAAAAAGCAUUCAACUUCGAAACUCUUUCAGAAAACUCAAGAAAACAUUGUUCUGACAAAAUGAAAUAAAGAGCAAAGAAAAAGCCAAAAACUCAGAGCCUCCUUCCUCUUCUACC
RNAcentral lists this long non-coding RNA (250 nucleotides) under Brassica napus (rape). RNAcentral's name for it is "long non-coding RNA (BNAP_LNC008835)". Lineage: Eukaryota; Viridiplantae; Streptophyta; Magnoliopsida; Brassicales; Brassicaceae. The record is from RNAcentral.